GCCUAGCCCCGAUGGGAGCGGCAUCCUUGCUUGGCGGGGUUCGCCGAGCAAGAUAUAGCGGACAGUGGGACGACUC
RNAcentral lists this small RNA (76 nucleotides) under Flavobacterium succinicans. RNAcentral describes it as "Flavo-1 RNA". It matches the Rfam family "Flavo-1 RNA". Lineage: Bacteria; Pseudomonadati; Bacteroidota; Flavobacteriia; Flavobacteriales; Flavobacteriaceae. The record is from Rfam by way of RNAcentral.